Molecule: transfer RNA, 72 nt
Filed under: Ictidomys tridecemlineatus (thirteen-lined ground squirrel)
Lineage: Eukaryota; Metazoa; Chordata; Mammalia; Rodentia; Sciuridae
Also listed under: 1 other name
Description: Spermophilus tridecemlineatus (thirteen-lined ground squirrel) tRNA
Rfam family: tRNA
About the family: Transfer RNA (tRNA) molecules are approximately 80 nucleotides in length.
Source: Rfam by way of RNAcentral
AGGGGUGUAGCUCAGUGAUAGAGAACUCGCCUUGCAUGCAUAAGGUCCUGGGUUUGAUCCCCAGCACCACAG